AUUGAACGCUGGCGGCAGGCCUAACACAUGCAAGUCGAACGGUAACAGGAAGAAGCUUGCUUCUUUGCUGACGAGUGGCGGACGGGUGAGUAAUGUCUGGGAAACUGCCUGAUGGAGGGGGAUAACUACUGGAAACGGUAGCUAAUACCGCAUAACGUCGCAAGACCAAAGAGGGGGACCUUCGGGCCUCUUGCCAUCGGAUGUGCCCAGAUGGGGUUAGCUAGUAGGUGGGGUAACGGCUCACCUAGGCGACGAUCCCUAGCUGGUCUGAGGGGAUGACCAGCCACACUGGAACUGAGACACGGUCCAGACUCCUACGGGAGGCAGCAGUGGGGAAUAUUGCACAAUGGGCGCAAGCCUGAUGCAGCCAUGCCGCGUGUAUGAAGAAGGCCUUCGGGUUGUAAAGUACUUUCAGCGGGGAGGAAGGGAGUAAAGUUAAUACCUUUGCUCAUUGACGUUACCCGCAGAAGAAGCACCGGCUAACUCCGUG
This 490-nucleotide ribosomal RNA is filed under the name uncultured bacterium. Its description in RNAcentral is "partial 16S ribosomal RNA". It matches the Rfam family "Bacterial small subunit ribosomal RNA", at positions 30 to 507 of the family's 1533-position model. The record is from RNAcentral.